RNAcentral lists this long non-coding RNA (340 nucleotides) under Medicago truncatula (barrel medic). Its description in RNAcentral is "long non-coding RNA (MTRU_LNC002028)". The record is from RNAcentral. Lineage: Eukaryota; Viridiplantae; Streptophyta; Magnoliopsida; Fabales; Fabaceae.
AGAAACCCUAGAACCCGAACCAGAACCCCAUCUCGAAACAGAACUCUCAUCACUCCUUGUCCUGUCCCUAUCACCGUAAGAUCUAAACCCACCACCAAUCUUAGUCCGGUCCCGUUCAAGUUCCUCAGCGGUUCGCUGACGUGGACCGGUGGGAAGAUCAACCGGAUCUUGAGCUGUAUAAGAAGAAACAGGUUUAGCAGUGAACUCAGCCAAACUUAGGGUCUGUGCUUUCUUCUUUUUAGGUUUUGUUGCGGCGGCGACAGCGAGGGAAGGGAAUUCCGCAAGUGGUUUGGUUUCAACAACGUUGUUGGUGGUGUGUUGUUGAAGAAGUUCAGCUUCG